UGGGGAAUAUUGCACAAUGGGCGAAAGCCUGAUGCAGCAACGCCGCGUGAGUGAUGAAGGUCUUCGGAUUGUAAAGCUCUGUCUUUUGGGACGAUAAUGACGGUACCAAAGGAGGAAGCCACGGCUAACUACGUGCCAGCAGCCGCGGUAAUACGUAGGUGGCGAGCGUUGUCCGGAUUUACUGGGCGUAAAGGGUGCGUAGGCGGAUGUUUAAGUGAGAUGUGAAAUACCCGGGCUUAACUUGGGUGCUGCAUUUCAAACUGGAUAUCUAGAGUGCAGGAGAGGAGAAUGGAAUUCCUAGUGUAGCGGUGAAAUGCGUAGAGAUUAGGAAGAACACCAGUGGCGAAGGCGAUUCUCUGGACUGUAACUGACGCUGAGGCACGAAAAGCGUGGGUAGCAAACAGGAUUAGAUACCCUGGUAGUCCACGCCGUAAAACGAUGAGUACUAGGUGUAGGAGGUAUCGACCCCUUCUGUGCCGCAGUAAAACACAUUAAGUACUCCGCCUGGGAAGUACGAUCGCAAGAUUAAAAAC
Molecule: ribosomal RNA, 533 nt
Filed under: uncultured bacterium
Lineage: Bacteria
Description: partial 16S ribosomal RNA
Rfam family: Bacterial small subunit ribosomal RNA
Source: RNAcentral